Molecule: ribosomal RNA, 253 nt
Filed under: uncultured bacterium
Lineage: Bacteria
Description: partial 16S ribosomal RNA
Rfam family: Bacterial small subunit ribosomal RNA
Source: RNAcentral
UACAGAGGGUGCAAGCGUUAAUCGGAAUUACUGGGCGUAAAGCGCGCGUAGGUGGUUUGUUAAGUUGGAUGUGAAAGCCCCGGGCUCAACCUGGGAACUGCAUUCAAAACUGACAAGCUAGAGUAUGGUAGAGGGUGGUGGAAUUUCCUGUGUAGCGGUGAAGUGCGUAGAUAUAGGAAGGAACACCAGUGGCGAAGGCGACCACCUGGACUGAUACUGACACUGAGGUGCGAAAGCGUGGGGAGCAAACAGG